This is an RNA transcript of Mangifera indica (mango), 2402 nucleotides long. It is a transcript of the gene named F-box/FBD/LRR-repeat protein At1g13570-like, with no coding region annotated. Lineage: Eukaryota; Viridiplantae; Streptophyta; Magnoliopsida; Sapindales; Anacardiaceae. The transcript has 4 exons. The record is from RefSeq and is a predicted model, not a curated record.
GUGAUUUAUUGUUUGUGUCUCCAGACUUCCUUUUCACCUUAUAUAUGAUAACUUUUUUUUUUUUAAAAUUUUGAUUGUUAUCUUCUCUAGGGUUAUUAUUUUUAACAAAAACCCUUUACCACUUUGAUGUUAGACUGAUUGAUUUCAAGGACUAUUGUGAAGAUGACUGUUGGUUCAAUUUUCUACUGAAACUAGUAAUAUUUUAGGUUGAUUCUGCUGUUUGACCGGUUUGUAUCAUGAGUACUGAGAGAUAGUUCUUUUCUAAAUAUGAUGUGGUUUCUAAAUUUAGUUUUGUUUAGCUAAAUUAUAUUUUGCUAAUUGUUAGGAUUUCAUCCAUUGUUCCUGGCGAUUUUCCCUUUGUGUUGGUUGCUUUUCAUAUCUUGCAAAAAAAGAAAGAUUGGACAGAUAAUAGUUUUUAAGAAUGAUAUUGCCUUUGGAAUGCUAUUGAAAAAUUUUCCCUUUGAUUAUGUCAAAUGUGGCCUUAUCUCUACCAGUUACAAUGUGUAGAUACUAUGAGUGCUCGAUUGAAAAUCGAGCAUGAUCAGCUCAAAGGCAAGCUUACAACAAUUGAUAGACUUAGCAAACUGCCAUGGGGUAUUUUGGACAACAUCCUUGGUUGUCUACAGAUGAAGGAGGCUGUGAGAACAAGCAUCCUGUCUAGACAAUAGAGAUAGAAAUGGGUUAACCUUUUGAAGCUUCUCUUUGAUGUGGUCUCAAACCGUGCCCUUUGGAAUUCUCCAAAUUCAAGAGGCCUCCAAUACUACAUUUUUAAUGUUCUGCUGUCUCAUUGUGGCAAUAUACACACUUUUAAGCUUUGCAACACCUUCCCAGAAAAGUUCUCCGAUCUUCACGCCUGGAUACAUUAUCUUGCAAGAAACAGUAUCAGGGAAUUCACUCUUGAGUAUGUUAGCACAGCAAUUGAUUUUGCAAACGUGUAUAAGUUACCAGCUUGCAUAUGGUCUUUUGAACAUCUGACCCAUUUGCAGCUCUGUUGAUAUAAAUUACCACAACCUCCUUGUGCUUCUAAAGGUUUCAGAAAUCUUGUCGGUCUCCAACUUUAUGGGAAGCUUAGUGAUAUUCAGUUGCUUGAAAACUUGAUCUGCAACUGCCUUGUUCUACAGAUUGAUGCUCAAUAGUCUUCAAAAUUUCGCUUGUUUUGGUAUUCAGGCCGCAAAGCUAAAACAGGUAGGUCUUCAAGGAAAAUUGAGAGCUAUCAUUCUUAAAAAUUGUACGGUCCUAGCAGAGAUAACCUUAAUCAUCACUUCAGAUGGGUCUACCAGCGUUGAAUAUCAAGAUCAAGGAAGGAUUUACCAUUUGCUACAUUAUCUCAGUCAGCUAUACAGUCUGAAAAGAGUUAAAGUUUCUGGUUUUUUCCUUAAGAUUCUUUAUGCAUUUGAUCUUAGAAUUGGCUGAUGCGGAAUGUUUCAGACAUUGCCUAUAUUGCAUCCAACCAUUUGAAGAUUCUUUAUCUUGUUGAAAUGAGUUUCAACGAUCAUGAUCAGACAAAGGCUACUGUCAAACUUCUUAAACUCUUCUCAAACUUACGGGAACUCCAGAUCUUAAUUCGAAGCGGAGAAUAUUCAAGACAAUCAUUCGAAUUUCUGCAAGCACAAAAUCAAUCAAGCUACUGUUUUGGCCAACUUCAAAAUGUGAAGAUUCAUCUAAGAGAUUGUGUUACAAUUUUCAGCAACCGGCAUCCUGAAUUGGAAUUUAUCAAGUUCCUACUUAAUCAUUCUCCAGUACUCGACAAAAUGGUGAUUUUAAAUGAUGAGCAUAGAGAUAAAUUUAACUGACAGUUUAUGGAAGAAAUGCUGUUUUUUAAAAGGAUUUCACCAGAAGCAAAAAUUACAUAUUGUCCAGUGUCCUCACUGCCAUGCUACAAUACAAUCAAUCGAUGAUGAGUCUAUGCUCUUCAUUUUGUAAGUUGGGGUUGCAAGAUCUUGAGGCUUUUGGUUUUGUGUGUCAGGUUCUGAAGACCGGAAAAAAGAACUUGGGGGAGAAGGACACUUGGCAGCAGCAAGCUUGGACAGAUGGCAAUUCAGCAGAGGCUAGGACCACCAGAAAUGAUAAAUAAUUGUGGCACAACAGACAGCAGCUGCACUGCAAGGUGGUUAAGGAGGAUAAAAAGGAGAGGACAACAGCAGAAAAGGAUAUUCAGAAUUCAGCGAAAGGUGAGGGAAUUUGAGGGAGAGAGCAGGCCUCUCCAAUGCCUUGCAUAGUGGCUAUUUUCAUAGUCUAUGUAAUAAGAAUUUGUGGUUAUCUUCUUUGUUUAUGUAAUAGGAGUUGUGAGACAUUUUCCAAUUUCCAGAAACAGAAUCCACUUUUAUUGAAAUCAAUAUUGUUUGCUUUCAUGUAGAUUCAAUCCAAAGUUACAAUUCCAGAAUCUGUCUUUACUUUCUAAA